RNAcentral lists this long non-coding RNA (499 nucleotides) under Callithrix jacchus (white-tufted-ear marmoset). Its description in RNAcentral is "lncRNA (ENSCJAG00000068462.2)". Lineage: Eukaryota; Metazoa; Chordata; Mammalia; Primates; Cebidae. The record is from RNAcentral.
AUGUCCCCGGAAACUGACCUGUGGACUGCUUCAUGUGGGCUCAUUUGCCCUCUGCUUCUGGCUGGUUUGGCAAUGGAGACAGAGAGAGAUGAGAAGACGAAUAUAAUGAGUGAUAAAGCAUUGAAGAGGAAGAACUUGAGACAAGAUUCUACUGCUCACUCCAGGGAGUCUCCUACUGCCUAGGAAUGACUGAUCCUGGUCGAGGACUUCUGUGUCUGCAGGACUUCCUGGAGCCUGGAAGUAGGGCUUAGCUGGGAGGCUGAGAACACGUGAAAAGGUCAUUCAAACCCCGUGUGACUUUCUCUAAAUAGUUAAAGCUGCCAGCCUGAGUCAUAAUUCCUCUGUCCUCCCCCAGGGUCUCCAGUAUGGGGCUGAAAGCGGGAGAACCCACCCCUAAAGAGAAGGAUGCAGCCUUGUACAUGCAGCAGCUUUGGGCUCCGGUCAUCAAGCUGUGUCCAAGGUCGAUCCACAAGUUCUAGCUAUGAGGACAGCCCUCCAC